Molecule: unclassified non-coding RNA, 253 nt
Filed under: uncultured Caryophanales bacterium
Lineage: Bacteria; Bacillati; Bacillota; Bacilli; Caryophanales
Description: uncultured Bacillales bacterium contains 16S-23S intergenic spacer region
Rfam family: Bacterial small subunit ribosomal RNA
Source: RNAcentral
UACGUAGGUGGCAAGCGUUAACCGGAAUUAUUGGGCGUAAAGCGCGCGCAGGCGGCCUCUUAAGUUGGAUGUGAAAUCCCCCGGCUCAACCGGGGAGGGCCAUUGAAAACUGGGAGACUUGAGUAUAGGAGAGAAGAGUGGAAUUCCAGGUGUAGCGGUGAAAUGCGUAGAGAUGUGGAGGAACACCAGUGGCGAAGGCGACUCUUUGGCCUAUAACUGACGCUGAGGCGCGAAAGCGUGGGGAGCAAAAAGG